Molecule: transfer RNA, 74 nt
Filed under: Candidatus Nealsonbacteria bacterium CG_4_10_14_0_8_um_filter_37_14
Lineage: Bacteria; Candidatus Nealsoniibacteriota
Also listed under: 2 other names
Description: tRNA-Thr
Rfam family: tRNA
About the family: Transfer RNA (tRNA) molecules are approximately 80 nucleotides in length.
Source: RNAcentral
GCCGAGAUAGCUCAGUUGGUUAGAGCAACACAUUGGUAAUGUGUAGGUCGCCGGUUCAAAUCCGGCUCUCGGCU